GGAGAGGUGGCAGAGCGGUCAAAUGCGCUGUCUUGGAAAGGCAGAGUCGGCAACGGCACCAGGGUUCGAAUCCCUGUCUCUCCGCCA
This 87-nucleotide transfer RNA is filed under the name Burkholderia ubonensis. Its description in RNAcentral is "tRNA-Ser". It matches the Rfam family "tRNA". From Rfam's summary of the family: Transfer RNA (tRNA) molecules are approximately 80 nucleotides in length. The record is from RNAcentral. Lineage: Bacteria; Pseudomonadati; Pseudomonadota; Betaproteobacteria; Burkholderiales; Burkholderiaceae.